Molecule: ribosomal RNA, 83 nt
Filed under: uncultured bacterium
Lineage: Bacteria
Description: partial 16S ribosomal RNA
Source: RNAcentral
UGUAACUUCUUUGUAAGGGAAUAAAAGUGGUACGUGUACCAUAUUGUAUGUACUUUACGAAUAAGGAUCGGCUAACUCCGUGC